This 252-nucleotide ribosomal RNA is filed under the name uncultured bacterium. RNAcentral's name for it is "partial 16S ribosomal RNA". It matches the Rfam family "Bacterial small subunit ribosomal RNA", at positions 524 to 776 of the family's 1533-position model. The record is from RNAcentral.
UACAGAGGUCUCAAGCGUUGUUCGGAUUCAUUGGGCGUAAAGGGUGCGUAGGCGGCGCGGUAAGUCGGGUGUGAAAUCUCGGGGCUUAACUCCGAAACUGCAUUCGAUACUGCCGUGCUUGAGGACUGGAGAGGAGACUGGAAUUUACGGUGUAGCGGUGAAAUGCGUAGAUAUCGUAAGGAGACCAGUGGCGAAGGCGGGUCUCUGGACAGUUCCUGACGCUGAGGCACGAAGGUCAGGGGAGCAAACGGG